CGUGUAGGCGGAUUGCCAAGUCAGAUGUGAAAUCCCCAGGCUUAACUUGGGAACUGCAUUUGAAACUGGCGAUCUUGAGUACGGGAGAGGGAAGUGGAAUUCCUAAUGUAGAGGUGAAAUUCGUAGAUAUUAGGAGGAACACCGGUGGCGAAGGCGGCUUCCUGGACCGAUACUGACGCUGAGACGCGAGAGCGUGGGGAGCAAACA
This 207-nucleotide ribosomal RNA is filed under the name uncultured bacterium. RNAcentral describes it as "partial 16S ribosomal RNA". It matches the Rfam family "Bacterial small subunit ribosomal RNA", at positions 568 to 774 of the family's 1533-position model. The record is from RNAcentral.